UGGUCCAUUCCAUGUGGCACUGCCCCUGCAGAACCCUUUAACUGAAUAAGUUCCCUUGUGUCCAAAACUUUCAUCUCUAUUUCCCAUUCCUAGUUCAUCCAUUUUUCUUCUGUGAUAUACUCUUAAUGUUUUUGGCCAUGAAUCUCAUCUUCCAAAGGCCUUUAGCUGAAUUCCUAUCACAAAACCUGUGAGAUCACAAUCAAAAUAGGUGGAUUUCAUACUACAUCAUACCUCUUGAUCAUGAAUCAGGUUUAAUCGUGAAUCAGGUUUAGAUAAAAAAUUUUCAACAGCUCCUAUAAAUAAUUU
RNAcentral lists this unclassified non-coding RNA (306 nucleotides) under Hevea brasiliensis (rubber tree). The record is from RNAcentral. Lineage: Eukaryota; Viridiplantae; Streptophyta; Magnoliopsida; Malpighiales; Euphorbiaceae.